AGGCAAUCAAGACUCAUACUGUCGUCGUUUUCAUCCAACUUCCGCUUACCCAAUGGUUAGGCAUAAAUACGGGCUUUCAACUGCCACCCAAAACAGUCGGUCGUCAGGAAGAUGGGGUUAAGCGGUGCCUUACUUGUACUAGCUGUGUUCGGUGCCCUAACCCUGGCUUUGCCACUAGAUCAUGUUAAUAACAAUGACCAUAACGACAAUGAUGAAUCGAACCAGACACACGGAUCAACUGGUCAGAAAUUGUCAGCAGCACAGAUCCCGUAUGAAACAAUAGAGGUCAGUUGGUCUCUACGGAAGGUAAUGGCUCGGCCAUUUCCUAUUGAUUGCUACCAACCACAACAAAUUGGCCACUGUAAGCCUGGUUAUCAGGCAAUAGGCGACAAGUGCUGCCACUUUGACGAACUAUGAAGUACGGAGCCAAUGAUUUUGAGGAGUGCUGUAUUGUUUUUGGCCCUUGGAUUUGACCUUGGAUUUGACUUACUGAAACAGAGGAUUUACUUAAGAAAACUGUGUGAAAGCAGGUUUUACGGACUAGUAUCAUAUUUCGCAAAAUAUUGAUAACUUGUUGAAGGUAAUUAGAUUUCAAGAUCUCUUAUUGUAAAAACAGGACUGUAAAAUCUUUUGCAACUAUUUUUGUAAAGUUUAAUAAAGAAUGAAUCGAAGUGCA
Molecule: long non-coding RNA, 676 nt
Organism: Schistocerca piceifrons (Central American locust)
Lineage: Eukaryota; Metazoa; Arthropoda; Insecta; Orthoptera; Acrididae
Exons: 2
Source: RefSeq, a predicted model, not a curated record